UACAGGUGCUGCAUGGCUGUCGUCAGCUCGUGUCGUGAGAUGUUGGGUUAAGUCCCGCAACGAGCGCAACCCUUGUCAUUAGUUGCCAUCAUUUGGUUGGGCACUCUAAUGAGACUGCCGGUGACAAACCGGAGGAAGGUGGGGAUGACGUCAAGUCCUCAUGGCCCUUAUAGGUGGGGCUACACACGUCAUACAAUGGCUGGUACAAAGGGUUGCCAACCCGCGAGGGGGAGCCAAUCCCAUAAAGCCAGUCGUAGUCCGGAUCGCAGUCUGCAACUCGACUGCGUGAAGUCGGAAUCGCUAGUAAUCGUGGAUCAGCAUGUCACGGUGAAUACGUUCCCGGGUCUU
This 348-nucleotide ribosomal RNA is filed under the name uncultured Lampropedia sp. RNAcentral describes it as "bacterial SSU rRNA". It matches the Rfam family "Bacterial small subunit ribosomal RNA", at positions 1033 to 1382 of the family's 1533-position model. Lineage: Bacteria; Pseudomonadati; Pseudomonadota; Betaproteobacteria; Burkholderiales; Comamonadaceae. The record is from RNAcentral.